GAUGAACGCUGGCGGCGUGCCUAAUACAUGCAAGUCGCGCGGACAGACGAGGAGCUUGCUCCUCUGACGUUAGCGGCGGACGGGUGAGUAACUCGUGGAUAACCUACCUAUACUUCUCCGCUAACUUCGGGAACCCGGAUCUAAUACCGACUAAUUUAUUUCACCUCAUGGUUCAAUAGUUAAACACGGUUUUUCUGUCUCUUAUAGAUGGAUCCGGGCCGCAUUAGCUAGUUGGUAAGGUAACGCCUUACCAAGGCAACGAUGCGUAGCCGACCGGAGAGGGUGGUCGGCCACACUGGAACUGAGACGCGGCACAGACUACUACGGGAGGCAGCAGAAGGGAAUGGUCCGCAAUGGGCGAAAGGCAGACGGAGAAAAGCCACGUGAGUGAUGAAGGGAUGCGGAUCGGAAAACUAUGUUAUUAGGGAAGAACAAAUGAGUAAGUAACGAGGGAGGUCUUGACGGUACCGAAUCAGAAAGCAACGGCUAACUACGUG
This 497-nucleotide ribosomal RNA is filed under the name uncultured bacterium. RNAcentral's name for it is "partial 16S ribosomal RNA". It matches the Rfam family "Bacterial small subunit ribosomal RNA", at positions 28 to 507 of the family's 1533-position model. The record is from RNAcentral.